This 497-nucleotide ribosomal RNA is filed under the name uncultured bacterium. Its description in RNAcentral is "partial 16S ribosomal RNA". It matches the Rfam family "Bacterial small subunit ribosomal RNA", at positions 28 to 507 of the family's 1533-position model. The record is from RNAcentral.
GAUGAACGCUGGCGGCGUGCCUAAUACAUGCAAGUCGAGCGAACGGACGAGAAGCUUGCUUCUCUGAUGUUAGCGGCGGACGGGUGAGUAACACGUGGAUAACCUACCUAUAAGACUGGGAUAACUUCGGGAAACCGGAGCUAAUACCGGAUGAUAUUUUGAACCGCAUGGUUCAAAAGUGAAAGAAGGUCUUGCUGUCACUUAUAGAUGGACCCGCGCUGCAUUAGCUAGUUGGUAAGGUAACGGCUUACCAAGGCAACGAUGCAUAGCCGACCUGAGAGGGUGAUCGGCCACACUGGAACUGAGACACGGUCCAGACUCCUACGGGAGGCAGCAGUAGGGAAUCUUCCGCAAUGGGCGAAAGCCUGACGGAGCAACGCCGCGUGAGUGAUGAAGGUCUUCGGAUCGUAAAACUCUGUUAUUAGGGAAGAACAUAUGUGUAAGUAACUGUGCACAUCUUGACGGUACCUAAUCAGAAAGCCACGGCUAACUACGUG